AUACCGCAUACGAUCUGACCUCGGCAUCGAGGAUAGAUGAAAGGUGGCCUCUAUUUAUAAGCUAUCACUGAAGGAGGGGAUUGCGUCUGAUUAGCUAGUUGGAGGGGUAACGGCCCACCAAGGCGAUGAUCAGUAGCCGGUCUGAGAGGAUGAACGGCCACAUUGGGACUGAGACACGGCCCAGACUCCUACGGGAGGCAGCAGUGGGGAAUCUUCCGCAAUGGACGAAAGUCUGACGGAGCAACGCCGCGUGAGUGAUGACGGCCUUCGGGUUGUAAAGCUCGGUUAAUCGGGACGAAAGGCCUUCUUGCGAAUAGUUAGAAGGAUUGACGUACCGGAAUAGAAAG
Molecule: ribosomal RNA, 347 nt
Filed under: Veillonella sp. oral taxon D88
Lineage: Bacteria; Bacillati; Bacillota; Negativicutes; Veillonellales; Veillonellaceae
Description: bacterial SSU rRNA
Rfam family: Bacterial small subunit ribosomal RNA
Source: RNAcentral